RNAcentral lists this transfer RNA (73 nucleotides) under Flavobacteriales bacterium. RNAcentral describes it as "tRNA-Lys". It matches the Rfam family "tRNA". From Rfam's summary of the family: Transfer RNA (tRNA) molecules are approximately 80 nucleotides in length. The record is from RNAcentral. Lineage: Bacteria; Pseudomonadati; Bacteroidota; Flavobacteriia; Flavobacteriales.
GAUCCUGUAGCUCAGUUGGUAGAGCAUCACACUUUUAAUGUGAGGGUCCUGGGUUCGAGCCCCAGCGGGAUCA